RNAcentral lists this transfer RNA (71 nucleotides) under Loxodonta africana (African savanna elephant). It matches the Rfam family "tRNA". From Rfam's summary of the family: Transfer RNA (tRNA) molecules are approximately 80 nucleotides in length. Their secondary structure includes four short double-helical elements and three loops (D, anti-codon, and T loops). Further hydrogen bonds mediate the characteristic L-shaped molecular structure. tRNAs have two regions of fundamental functional importance: the anti-codon, which is responsible for specific mRNA codon recognition, and the 3' end, to which the tRNAs corresponding amino acid is attached (by aminoacyl-tRNA synthetases). tRNAs cope with the degeneracy of the genetic code in two manners: having more than one tRNA (with a specific anti-codon) for a particular amino acid; and 'wobble' base-pairing, i.e. permitting non-standard base-pairing at the 3rd anti-codon position. The record is from Rfam by way of RNAcentral. Lineage: Eukaryota; Metazoa; Chordata; Mammalia; Proboscidea; Elephantidae.
GCAAUGGUGGUUCAGUGGUAGAACUCUCGUCUUCCAUAUGGGGGGCCCGGGUUUGAUUCCUGGCCAAUGUC